Long non-coding RNA from Etheostoma spectabile (orangethroat darter), 186 nucleotides. RefSeq lists it as uncharacterized. The transcript has 3 exons. Lineage: Eukaryota; Metazoa; Chordata; Actinopteri; Perciformes; Percidae. The record is from RefSeq and is a predicted model, not a curated record.
GCGGACUAUAAACAUCUCCUGUUGCUACGGGAGGUAAGUCGUAUCUAAGGUCCUUCCUAUUUCCUGGUGAAUGCACAACAUUUGCAUUGCAUAAGAACCUUAUAGGAUGGGAAUGAUUGUUCCGGGUAUUAGUCAAACCGUCAGGUAUAACCAGGGAAACAGAGUAACUGUCUUGAAAAACAAAUG